CAGCCGUAAACUAUGCUCGCUAGGUGUCAGGCAUGGCGCGACCGUGUCUGGUGCCGCAGGGAAGCCGUGAAGCGAGCCACCUGGGAAGUACGGCCGCAAGGCUGAAACUUAAAGGAAUUGGGCGGGGGAGCACAACAACGGGUGGAGCCUGCGGUUUAAUUGGACUCAACGCCGGGAAGCUCACCGGGAACGACAGCAAAUAUGUAGGCCAGGCUGAAGACCUUGCCUGAAUCGCUGAGAGGUGGUGCAUGGCGUAGACGUCU
RNAcentral lists this ribosomal RNA (263 nucleotides) under uncultured archaeon. Its description in RNAcentral is "partial 16S ribosomal RNA". It matches the Rfam family "Archaeal small subunit ribosomal RNA", at positions 748 to 1009 of the family's 1478-position model. The record is from RNAcentral.